AUGCACACAAAGGGGAUCUUUUCCUCAGUCUGGACAAUGAGUCUGGAAUUCCCUGCCAUCAACUGUGCUUUGCUGGAAGCCAAGGUCCACGGGGCGGCUUGCUGCUUUAUCCAGUCUUUUCCAAUUAUCAGCAAAAAGGAAGUAAUCCCAUGAUGGAGGUCAAAUUGGCCCUUACCAAGUGGUCCAAAUGCUGUGCAUUUUGAGAUGAUGCAACCGAGGCUCAGGAAUUCAUACCAGUAGUCUGAAAGACUGGAUUAUUUGCACUUUACUGAAAUGAUGUGUGUCCUGUGUGUAUUUGGAACAACAUGCCUUCAGGAAACUUCGCCGGACUCAGCAGC
Long non-coding RNA from Zalophus californianus (California sea lion), 338 nucleotides. RefSeq lists it as uncharacterized. The transcript is spliced from 3 exons. The record is from RefSeq and is a predicted model, not a curated record. NCBI's taxonomy places the organism in Eukaryota, Metazoa, Chordata, Mammalia, Carnivora, Otariidae.